CGAGCCCCCCCUCCCCCCCCAAGCAGAGAGACCCCAGCAGCAGCAGCAGCUGAUGAUGAAGAGAGAGGCUGUGGCAGAGGGGGGGCACCUUUUAUUUCUAUUUUUAAAGGGACAGGACACUAAUUUUACCCCACUUCAACCUUGAAUUGAGGGGGGUGGGGGCGAAGGUGGCUGAGUUCCUUCCCCCACCCUCCAGCCCUGAGCCCUGAGAGGGAGAUUGAGCCUGAGAGAGGAGAAGGAGUUUCUUCUUCUUCGAAAACCCUCGUCUACGACUCCUACCCCCUCACCCAUCCACUCGCCUCCCUCCCGAGCCCCCUCCACCCUCCUUCUCUUUGGCCGUGAGAGGAAGAGAGAAAGAGACCAAAAGCCUCUUAGCAACACAGACCUUUUGCUGCUUCUGCUGCUGCUGCUGCUGCUGCUGUUGCUGCUGCUGCUGCUGCUGUUGCUGCUGUUGCUGCUGCUGCUGCUGCUGCUGUUGCUGUUGCUGCUGUUGCUGUUGCUGCUGCUGCUGUUGCUUGGCCCUGGCUGGAGACAUCUCACUACACCCAGGAGCAGCCACUUCCCCAGCUCUCCUCCUUCUCCUCCUCCUCCUCCUCCACUCCCCCCCUUUAUUACCCUUUGUGUCAUCCUCCACAGCUCCAGGGAAGGCACUCAAAAGUGGGGGGCAGGAAAGAUGAACAUUGGAGGCGACAAUUAAUACCUGUGUGAAGGAUAUAUUGAAGGCUUUGUGGUUUACAGACAAGAUCUGUAGAAAUUAGACACUCAAGGUCCAGGUAAAUAAAUACCAGAAACCAAGAGCACAGAAGACUUUUCUUCAUCAGUCCACAACCCUAACACUCUAGUAAUUUCAUCAAACACAGAGGAAUGAGCACCUUCGCAGAUGGCCACAGAGGAUGUCAACCAUUUU
This is a long non-coding RNA of Fukomys damarensis (Damara mole-rat), 907 nucleotides long. RefSeq lists it as uncharacterized. Lineage: Eukaryota; Metazoa; Chordata; Mammalia; Rodentia; Bathyergidae. The record is from RefSeq and is a predicted model, not a curated record. The transcript has 3 exons.